AAUAAGAUUAUUUUUCAGUUUUUAGAUACAAUGUUUUGACUUUUCGUCUUAUUUGAAAUUUUUUACGAUUAAUAUUUUUGUUAUUACUAGAUGAUAAAAUAUGAAUAAUACUUUAUGCGUGACUAUUUUUUAAGUUUUUUAUAAAUUUUUCAAGUAAGACGAAUGGUCGAAGCAUUGGACACAGAAAUU
RNAcentral lists this microRNA precursor (189 nucleotides) under Oryza brachyantha (malo sina). Its description in RNAcentral is "MIR812 microRNA precursor family". It matches the Rfam family "MIR812 microRNA precursor family". Lineage: Eukaryota; Viridiplantae; Streptophyta; Magnoliopsida; Poales; Poaceae. The record is from Rfam by way of RNAcentral.